Molecule: ribosomal RNA, 357 nt
Filed under: uncultured soil bacterium
Lineage: Bacteria
Description: bacterial SSU rRNA
Rfam family: Bacterial small subunit ribosomal RNA
Source: RNAcentral
AGAUUGAACGCUGGCGGCAGGCCUAACACAUGCAAGUCGAGCGGUAGAGAGGUGCUUGCACCUCUUGAGAGCGGCGGACGGGUGAGUAAUGCCUAGGAAUCUGCCUAGUGGUGGGGGAUAACGUUCGGAAACGGACGCUAAUACCGCAUACGUCCUACGGGAGAAAGCGGGGGACCUUCGGGCCUCGCGCCAUUAGAUGAGCCUAGGUCGGAUUAGCUAGUUGGUGAGGUAAUGGCUCACCAAGGCGACGAUCCGUAACUGGUCUGAGAGGAUGAUCAGUCACACUGGAACUGAGACACGGUCCAGACUCCUACGGGAGGCAGCAGUGGGGAAUAGUUGGAACAAGUGGGGACGAAA